RNAcentral lists this unclassified non-coding RNA (445 nucleotides) under Agarista sp. Schmidt & Andrianjafy 4204. RNAcentral's name for it is "partial external transcribed spacer". The record is from RNAcentral. Lineage: Eukaryota; Viridiplantae; Streptophyta; Magnoliopsida; Ericales; Ericaceae.
AUCAACCAGGUAGCAUUCCUUUCGCGACGCUAGCACCGCCCAAGCCCGUUGACUAAUCAAGUAGGCAAGGACGAUACAGCGGUCAUCCGCAACAAGCGACAACGCCUUUUGGGUAAAGAACAAUCACGACUUGUAUACCCACAUAAGUUUCCGCAUCCGAGAAUACGAGCUGCAACUGGUGGCCAUGAUGACCGCACAUAGUGUGCAAUUUACACGAAGCACGAGCAGCACUUUUCGGCCCACCUCCACCACCAUGUAGUAGUGGAAGGCGAGAGUAGGGACUUUUACGAUCUAAUUCCGUCGCAUUGGGUAUAAGACACAGGAAACCCACGAUUUGCACAAGGAGCAUAUCGCUCCGGCCGCACUAUUGAAGAGAAAUUUACGAGAGGGACUUCACCGCGCAAGCAGAGAAUUAUCCAAACUCGAGAAAAUCGUCCAACACCCA